Non-coding RNA from Dipodomys ordii (Ord's kangaroo rat), 72 nucleotides. The record is from Rfam. NCBI's taxonomy places the organism in Eukaryota, Metazoa, Chordata, Mammalia, Rodentia, Heteromyidae.
GGGAAUGUGGCUUAGUGGUACAGUGCUUGCCUAGCAUGCAAGAAGCCUUGGGUUCAAUUCCUAGGUAUCACA